RNAcentral lists this long non-coding RNA (593 nucleotides) under Brassica napus (rape). RNAcentral's name for it is "long non-coding RNA (BNAP_LNC004292)". The record is from RNAcentral. Lineage: Eukaryota; Viridiplantae; Streptophyta; Magnoliopsida; Brassicales; Brassicaceae.
UGAUGUAAGAUUAAGAUUUAAGAACAUGAGUACAAACUAAAGACUUACCAUGCUUUUAGUUCUCACUUCUCAGUAGUAUUGGUUUUCUUAAACAAGCAAGACAGCGGCUGGUUAUAACAGGAAAGCAGGUGUGUGCUCAACACAUACAUUAAGUCAACACCAUAACCAGCUAUAUCGUGUUGAGCCUACACCAGCUUUCACCGUCAUAACCAGCCUCCUCCUUGUUCACCUACAAAAAUAAAAGAGAUAUCAGAAACUGAAUCACUAAACUUCAAGCGAACCAGGACAGACAAUUGAAACAACAUGCAACAAGCAACUAUAUAAUUUCAAGUUGUCUUAACUUCAAUGCUGAUCUUGCCCUGUAGCCAACGAACAAUCAGUCUUCACUCUUUUGAAUGAUUUUUCAUUAGCUACACGGCGAAGAUCCGCAGAAGUCAGAACUAUAUAGUUGCAAGUAACAAACCGAAUUUCUAUUUCAAACAAGUAACAAAGCGAAUCUCUAUUUCAAACAACAAAACAAAGCGAAUCUCUAUUUCAAACAACAACUAUGAGCUUCGAUCUUUUUCUUGAGGAAGGAGGAGUCUUAGAGAGUC